CGCGCAGGCGGUUAUACAAGCCUGGUGUGAAAGACCACAGCUCAACUGUGGGAACGCACUGGGAACUGUAUGACUAGAGUUCAAGAGGGGAAGCUGGAAUUCCUGGUGUAGGGGUGAAAUCUGUAGAUAUCAGGAAGAACAUCAGUGGCGAAGGCGAGCUUCUGGCUAUGAACUGACGCUGAGGCGCGAAAGCGUGGGGAGCGAACAGGAUUAGAUACCCUGGUAGUCC
This 229-nucleotide ribosomal RNA is filed under the name uncultured bacterium. RNAcentral describes it as "partial 16S ribosomal RNA". It matches the Rfam family "Bacterial small subunit ribosomal RNA", at positions 568 to 796 of the family's 1533-position model. The record is from RNAcentral.